This 1138-nucleotide unclassified non-coding RNA is filed under the name Hevea brasiliensis (rubber tree). Lineage: Eukaryota; Viridiplantae; Streptophyta; Magnoliopsida; Malpighiales; Euphorbiaceae. The record is from RNAcentral.
CCCAGAUUUAUUCUAUAGAUAUGCAUGGUUGCAGUUGCUUUUCAUAUUUACAACCAAGAUUACAAACUUUAAUUAUGAACAAAAAGAAAUGGGAAAAAAAUUUUAUAAAAAAAAAGGUUAAAAGAGAAAACCCAAAAAUAUUCAAGAAAUCUUAGCUUCCAGUUCUUAUUGUUACAUACUCAUUGAAUGCAGAUGGCCAAGGUCGCCUACGCUCAGUGACAUUCUUAGAAGCGGAUUGUCCAAGUCUUGGCCUUGAAUAUCUCACUAAUUGUUCGCGCAGGUUCUGGUCAAUGGUGCAAAGGAACUAAAGAAGGACUUGUGUCUGGAGUUCCCAAGCAACCCCUAGCAUUGAAUUUCACAGAUCGGAACUUCUGGCAACUUAAAGAGCGGAAAGAUGAAGAAAGAGGGGACAUUCUGGUGCAUCCAAUAUCAGGCUUGCAGGAUAUAGUUAUCACGGAAGAGGGUUCUGGCUCCUCACCUGAACACGUGCAGAAUGAUAGAGACAAACUUGUUCUGGAAAUUGCCUUCACCAAUGGUUUAGUUCCUGGGAGCUUCACAAAUGAAACCAUGCCAUGCCGGCAGAGAGGACAGGCAACUGAGCCAGGAGGACCUUGAGCAACCACUGAGGUGCAAAAUGAAGAACAGAGAUAUAAAGCACACCAUGUGCAGAAUUCAUGACCACAACCUUCUGCAGCAACUGUGCAUGCCCUUUCCAAACAAACAACACAAGGAUCCUGACAUUUGGGUAGCAAAUCCUCAUCCCUCCAUCCACAUUCUCUAGCAAUUUUGACAAUGCUCCCAAGGGGAAGAGAUAGAUAUGGUGAAGGAGACAUUUGUGACUGGUGUUCUGGCUGUAUGCUAAGUAUUUCCUCAAGUUCAUUUCUAUGCCAAGAAUGAGCAACCAUCAAAGGAGUCCAGCCAUUUGCAUUUUCAGCAGUCAGAUCGGCACCCCUGGCAAUCAAAAUUUGACAACAUUGUGCAUUUCCACCACAUGCAGCAUAAUGAAGAGGUGUGCUUCCAGCACCUAUGAGAUCAAUUGUAGUUCCAUCUUCCACAGUGACCUCAAAAACAGAAGCUCCUAAGUCCAAGAGCAAUUGUACAGUUUCAACAUGCCCAUUUAGUGCUGCCAUAUGCAGAG